Molecule: ribosomal RNA, 301 nt
Filed under: uncultured bacterium
Lineage: Bacteria
Description: partial 16S ribosomal RNA
Rfam family: Bacterial small subunit ribosomal RNA
Source: RNAcentral
CAGCAGCCGCGGUAAUACAGAGGGUGCGAGCGUUAAUCGGAUUUACUGGGCGUAAAGCGUGCGUAGGCGGCUUCUUAAGUCGGAUGUGAAAUCCCUGAGCUUAACUUAGGAAUUGCAUUCGAUACUGGGAAGCUAGAGUAUGGGAGAGGAUGGUAGAAUUCCAGGUGUAGCGGUGAAAUGCGUAGAGAUCUGGAGGAAUACCGAUGGCGAAGGCAGCCAUCUGGCCUAAUACUGACGCUGAGGUACGAAAGCAUGGGUAGCAAACAGGAUUAGAUACCCCCGUAGUCCCUGUCUCUUAUAC